CCACUGGGCUAUAGAAUGAUGUCAAGGGCUGGAGAGGGAGGCUACAGAGUGGGUCUAGGUCCAGGUACAGUCUCAGAACCACACUGCAAAACUGGCUUAGUCAGGUAGCUGCUGUAUCUGCUGCUUCCACUGUGAACUCAAAAACCACAUUGCCUGUGCUGCAGGCCGGAAAGCUGCUGAACCAGGAAGCUGUGCUGAUGCUGCUGACUGCCCCUGAGGUUAGAGAUUGACUAGACAUAGUGCCACUGUCAUCCCUGCUGGAGAAGGUCCGAAGCACCUCCACCUCUGUGCUUCCAGAGGGGCACUGUGGUGGCCACUUAAAAUGCUCAGGCUAUACCAUGCACUAGAGCAUCUACCUGGGCAAGGGAUAUGCUGUAUGACACUCUCCUGAUGCUGGGCAUGGCUGUGAGCCAAAGCACCCAGGCAGCCCUGCCAUCAGAAGGGUAAACCACGGACACCUGAUGCCUUCCUGAAGGAAGAGCACUACGCCUGCCAAACCAUCAAGCGUUGAUGCUCCAGCGCCUUCUACCCGUGGUUCUCCAGCCUCAGCAGAAGAGAGAGAAAUUGAUGACCCUGUCGUUGUAGCAUCCCCAUCACCCAGCAAUUAAUUUUAGUUCAAUGCUUCAAACGCUCUUCAGGCGCAGUGUGCGUUCAGCUGUGUCAGCUAAUGCAAAUGGGGGAUCUCAGAAGUCUUAAUGAAGUAACUAUCCCUGAACACUGGGAUCAAUACUCAGCAUCCAGCUGUCAAAUCAACACCAAGCGUUUCACUCGUCGCCCAGCCUAGAGUGCAAUGGCGCUAUUUCGGCUCAUUAUAACCUCCGCCUCCCGGGUUCAAGCAAUUCUUCUGCUUCAGCGUCCCAAGUAGCUGGGAUUACAGCCGCCUCCUGGAGCAGAUUGUUAAGCUGAUGCGAGUCUGGGCUCUGCCUCACCACUUGUCUCAGAGACAGAGUCUUGCUCUGUCACCUAGGCUGGAGUGCAGUGGUGCCAUCACAGCUCACUGCAGCCUCGACCUCCCCGUGCUCAAGUGAUCCUCACACCUCAGCCUCCCGAGUAGCCGCGAUCACAAAAUGUCCAGUGCUAGGAGACUCAUAAGUUGGAGAGAAACGGCCUGAUUUAUAGAAACUGAGCGAGACUCCGGACCACCUGAUGCAGAGAAACCUGUGACCUGAAAAAGUCUAUUUGUGUUUCCUCUAGGAAUCUCGGCCAAGAAGACAGGGACAAGCUCCCAACUCUGACUACCCCUUUUACAGGGAAAAAAAAAAAAUCCCGUGCCUUCUUUGCAGCAAGUGACAAAUCCUUGUCAUAUCGAGAUGGCUUUUCCUCCUCCUCUUCAAACAUCUUUUAGCAGCAACAGCAGCUCAAGUAACUGGAAUUAUUUCAGAGUUAAAAUGCAGGCUUUGUAGACCCUCUUAGACAGACAGAUUCAAUUUCAAAGGAAACUUCUUUGGCUGGGUACUCAGUGAGUGUUACACAGGGAUUUGGGGAGUUAAUAUUCACUGUUUCUGUUGUUGGAGAAAAGGAAAGCAGAGUUGCUCUUUCUCAUUACUCUCCCCAACGCACAUCUGUUUCCUCUCGUAUCUUGGAAUUAGGAAGAUGGAGGAGACUUAAGUGGUGACCCACCUAGCCUCCUGAUGCAUGCUGGGCUCACUUUAAAACUCCCAAAACAGAUGGCAGUUGAUCACGGUUUUAAAGAUCCCAGCAUAGACUUUCUGCAGCCUCCCUUGUUAGCCACUAUCAGCGCUUAACAUUCUGUCAUCUGAAUAACUCCUUAAAAAUGAUAGCAAUGGUAGUAGAAAUUUAAAAGGAACCUCCCAAAAAACAUGCAAAAGCUUACCACCCCAGUAAAUCACCCGCAACAAUGUCGCAACAGUUUAAAUUUACUGCAGAGAGAGCUGAAGUUUAGGAGACACAGCUUUAUAAUAUUUUUGAGAGAUAGUUGAGUGCAAAUGAGUCCUGUUCCUCUUGCAUCAGGGCCUGCUCCACUGAGUCAUCCUGCCUUCAGAAGCUUCCAGCUAAGUGGCAGGCCCCGGCCAUAGGCUCCCUGUGUCCCCAGCCUCCAGAGAACACACAAUGUUCUCAUCGCCCUUAGCUCCAUUCCAGAAGGGGCCUGCAGUUCUGCAGCUUAUCAGGGGUCUACUGGGAAGUGAGAUGUCACUGUCCCUUUCUGGCCCUGCAUUGUCUGUGAGUGGCUCUCCUGGAUUAAGAGUUGGCAAAGUAUGGCCAGUGGCCAGGACUGGCCUGCUGCCUGUUUUUGUUUAACCCGUGAGCUAAGAAUAGUUUUUACCUAUUUUAAGUAGUUGAAAAAAAAAUCAAGAGAAGAAUACUAUUUCGUGAUAUGUGAAAAAUCACAUGAAAUUCAAAUGUAAGUGUCCAUAAAUAAAGUCUUACUGGAAGACAGCCUUGCUCAUUUAUUUCUGUCUCAUUCGCUACUGUCUGCGGCUGCCUUCACGCUACAAUGGCAGUACUGAGUAGUUGUGACGGGCACUGUAUGACAGCAAAUCCUAAAGUAUUUGCCAUCUGGCCCUUCACAGAAAAAGUUUGCUGACCCUGGCUUUCGAGCCUCUCAUCACUUUGGGAUUCAUCUCUUUACUUUCCCCAGAGUGAGGGAGGCAGUAACGUUCCUCGUGAGUGCUUAGUCCUUGCUCCCAAGGCAAUAAACCCCCCAAAACCCCUCUCUUUCUGCAGUCUUCUUGUUGGCUUGAUAGUGGUAGGGCUGGUUCAGCCAAGGUCACAGUUGGAGGGCAGGAAGGGGGUACAGCGAAGGACGACGGGGGUGUCUUCUCUAGUCCUGUUUGCAGCAAUCUUUAGAAUGCAAAAUAAUUAAGAAGAAACUGCUGUUUUUUGGCUGUGGGAUGCAAUUCGAAUUCUGGAAAAUUAGAAUCAACAGAACGUGGGAUGUGGGAGUCCAGGACAACUCCCCUGUUUUGGCUGUGUUUGGUGCCAUGUGUGGAGGUGGGAGAGAUGGGAGAAAGAAGAGGUUUGGGCAGGGGGAGGGAAGAAUCAAGAUUCUGCUUUGAAUGGACGAAGGUUGUGGUUUGUUGAGAGGACAACUAGAUAACUGGCCACUUGAAGAUGGGAUGGAAGUCUGAAUCUGCAAGGAGUCACAGAUGAAUGGUAUGGAAAGCUGUGGUAGUGGAUGAGAUCAUACGAACGGUGGGUGCAGAUGGAAACGAGAAGCCAUCUAAGGACUCGUAAUGGGCUCCUCAACACUUGGAAGUUGGGUAGAGGAAGAAGACCGCAUGAGGGCAGGAUCCUGAAUGUUCCACUCACUGCUAUAUCCCUAGCACUGGUUACAGUGCUUGGCACACACUGCAUGCUCAAUAAAUUAUUUGUUGCCCAUAUAAGUGAACGUGAAUUCCAAUGGACUAGCAUCUUCCACUCUCAACAUAAACAAAAACAACAGCAACAUUGCAAUUCCCUAUCUUCUCUUCCCUGAUCUCUUUCUCAUUCUGUCUCUCCUUCCCUUUUCCUCUGCCUUCCUGUUGCCUUCUCUGAUAUGAGUUAAAUUUAUCAGGGGUGUCCAGGUACCCGGCUAUUCUUGAGCAUUCCUUAUCUGGCUACAACUCUGGGUGACACUGGUUACUAGUUUAGUGAACGAGCCAACAUAUAUUCUUCUUUUUGUCUACAUAGUUUUUUUUAAUGUUAAACUUGUUCCUAUUGCACCUCACUCUUUAUGAACUGUCAGUUAAUGCUAUUUUGGCUCUAUUCCUACCUUAGACGGAUGCUUGACAACUUGGUGUCAUCUGACCUUAAUUAGGACAUUCUUGGUUAAGACAUUGUUGGUGUAAAGAGAGAGA
This 3797-nucleotide long non-coding RNA is filed under the name Homo sapiens (human). RNAcentral's name for it is "HSALNT0372439". The record is from RNAcentral. Lineage: Eukaryota; Metazoa; Chordata; Mammalia; Primates; Hominidae.